This 331-nucleotide unclassified non-coding RNA is filed under the name soil metagenome. RNAcentral's name for it is "partial contains 5.8S ribosomal RNA, internal transcribed spacer 2, and large subunit ribosomal RNA". The stretch from base 1 to 120 matches the Rfam family "5.8S ribosomal RNA", at positions 35 to 154 of the family's 154-position model. The record is from RNAcentral.
GAUGAAGAACGUAGCGAAAUGCGAUAAGUAAUGUGAAUUGCAGAAUUCAGUGAAUCAUCGAAUCUUUAAACGCACAUUGCGCCCCCUGGUAUUCCGGGGGGCAUGCCUGUUCGAGCGUCAUUUCACCACUCAAGCCUCGCUUGGUAUUGGGCAACGCGGUCCGCCGCGUGCCUCAAAUCGACCGGCUGGGUCUUCUGUCCCCUAAGCGUUGUGGAAACUAUUCGCUAAAGGGUGUUCGGGAGGCUACGCCGUAAAACAACCCCAUUUCUAAGGUUGACCUCGGAUCAGGUAGGGAUACCCGCUGAACUUAAGCAUAUCAAUAAGCGGAGGA